This 72-nucleotide transfer RNA is filed under the name Candidatus Naiadarchaeales archaeon SRR2090153.bin1042. RNAcentral describes it as "tRNA-Thr". It matches the Rfam family "tRNA". From Rfam's summary of the family: Transfer RNA (tRNA) molecules are approximately 80 nucleotides in length. Their secondary structure includes four short double-helical elements and three loops (D, anti-codon, and T loops). RNAcentral also lists the same sequence under 1 other name. The record is from RNAcentral. Lineage: Archaea; Nanobdellati; Candidatus Undinarchaeota; Candidatus Undinarchaeia; Candidatus Naiadarchaeales.
GCCUCCGUAGCUCAGUGGUAGAGCGUUUGCAUGGUAAGCAAAAGGUCGCGUGUUCAAUUCACGCUGGAGGCU